GAUGAACGCUAGCGGCAGGCCUAACACAUGCAAGUCGAGGGGGAAGUUACUUUCGGGUGACUGAGACCGGCGUACGGGUGCGUAACGCGUAUACAAUCUGCCUUUCACUGGGGGAUAGCCCGAAGAAAUUUGGAUUAAUACCCCAUAGUAUAUAGGGACGGCAUCGUUUUUAUAUUAAAGCUUAGGUGGUGAAAGAUGAGUAUGCGUUCUAUUAGCUAGUUGGAGGGGUAACGGCUCCCCAAGGCGAUGAUAGAUAGGGGUUCUGAGAGGGAUGUCCCCCACACUGGUACUGAGAUACGGACCAGACUCCUACGGGAGGCAGCAGUGAGGAAUAGUGGACAAUGGUCGGAAGACUGAUCCAGCCAUGCCGCGUGCAGGAUGAAGGUCUUAUGGAUUGUAAACUGCUUUUGUAAGGGAAGAAUAAGGGCUACGCGUAGUUUGAUGACGGUACCUUACGAAUAAGCAUCGGCUAACUCCGUG
This 480-nucleotide ribosomal RNA is filed under the name uncultured bacterium. Its description in RNAcentral is "partial 16S ribosomal RNA". It matches the Rfam family "Bacterial small subunit ribosomal RNA", at positions 28 to 507 of the family's 1533-position model. The record is from RNAcentral.